UCCACCGUCGGCUGCCCAUAAGCUGCGCCACCGGCCACCCCGCCUACCCCAGCGCAAGCCCUUCCCCUGUCCUAUUCCUCCGCCUGGACCCCGGCGACCGACGGAUCUGAGCCCCCCUGCCUUCCCGCGCCUUCUCCAUGGCCUCCUCCCCCGCCAGUGGCUAACUCAUCAAGCUCGACCUCGCUGGAAUCCCGCGGCAAACCACGACCCCGAGGGGACCCCACCCACUUCCAGUGGCUCAGUCCACCAUGCCUCCACCACGAAACGGCCGCCGGCGACGCCCAAGAUCUUGGAUCCAGGGCCACCCCGACGAGGCGCGCGGCCUCAUCUGCCCACUACCAUCCUUCUCCGUUCUUUUUCUGCAGGGAGCACCACCUCAGCCCCCGUGCAGUCCGGUGGGCGCGUGCGUGCAACGCGCUGUGUGCGGCGCCGGAUCAGCACUGCCCCAUGCAGUGCGGGCGGUGAGCACGUGCAGUCCGGUGGGCGCGUGCGUGCAGCGCGCUGAGUGCAGGCGCCGGAUCAGCACCGGUACAUGCUCUCUCUGCCGCGCGAGAGAGCCUGGUCCUAGUGGUGCAGUCCGGUGUCUGCGGAACAUGCAGCUCGCUAGCUCAUUGCACGCUGUUCCGGCGGCGCGGGAAAGCAGUACAAGGCCACGCCCGUAUCCGAGUGGUGCAGCUCGGUGCUGUUGUCCGUGCAGUUUGCUGUUGUAUUCGACAACAAUGGCAACAGAAGCUUGGUCCCCGCUAGACUAGGAACAUAUGGAACCGAUUGUGUCUUGCUGAUGGAAAAGAGGUAAUAAUACAAGGAGUUCUUCAGACUGGGUAGUGUUGUCACCUGAGAAGGGGAUGGGAGUUCAGACUGAACAUGAACACGAUAGGUAGUUGCUCAGUUUAAGAUAUUGGAUUCAGUUACAGCCACAUCAAUGAUUUAAAUAAAAUAUCACAAAAGAUGUGGAACCCAGGCCUAUAUAAAGGUUACAUGCAUGCAUUGCUAGGCUGCUAGCACCUUGGACUUGUGGAGCCAUGGGCAGGGCAUGAGAAGCAUUGGCCAACUUGUUCGUGGCUAAACUGUACUCUUUUGUUUUGUUUAGACUAAGCACACUCUUCUUAGAUAAUCUGUAUUAUCAGCCCCACAUCAAGUGCACACACUCUUUUGUUUUCUAUUACUGUUAUUUUGUUUGUGCAAUUCUUGGAAGGGAAGGCAUCAAACAGGGGCGUUCGACGGCGAGCUGCUCCCGGCCGACUGCAGGGACAAGGGUCGUGUGCCCGUGCGGGUGCAGUUUGCUCCACUUCUCGAUGGGGUUCGCUUGCCUAGGUGCUGUAGUGUGCCUGGAGGUUUUCUUCUCCUCGGGUGCGUGAAGGUUUGGCUGUCGUGCGGGCAUGGGCAUGCAGUUCACCGGGGACCUACAGAAGAAAGAAAAAAUGGUUAUGCAUUAUGCAGUGCAGUUAAUUGCUGGGGUACUCAAGUGCCAUUUUCUAGUUGAUGAGUGCAUUAUGCAGUGCAAUUAACAUCUCAAAGAAGCUCGCUUCCUAUUAUAUGCAGUUAACUUGCUCAAUCUCUGCGUAUGUGUGCAAAAAAUAAUAAGUAGAGGUUCGUUUCA
Molecule: long non-coding RNA, 1600 nt
Organism: Triticum dicoccoides
Lineage: Eukaryota; Viridiplantae; Streptophyta; Magnoliopsida; Poales; Poaceae
Exons: 2
Source: RefSeq, a predicted model, not a curated record